RNAcentral lists this ribosomal RNA (495 nucleotides) under uncultured bacterium. Its description in RNAcentral is "partial 16S ribosomal RNA". It matches the Rfam family "Bacterial small subunit ribosomal RNA", at positions 29 to 507 of the family's 1533-position model. The record is from RNAcentral.
AUGAACGCUGGCGGCGUGCCUAAUACAUGCAAGUCGAGCGAACGGACGAGAAGCUUGCUUCUCUGAUGUUAGCGGCGGACGGGUGAGUAACACGUGGAUAACCUACCUAUAAGACUGGGAUAACUUCGGGAAACCGUAGCUAAUACCGGAUAAUAUUUUGAACCGCAUGGUUCAAAAGUGAAAGACGGUCUUGCUGUCACUUAUAGAUGGAUCCGCGCUGCAUUAGCUAGUUGGUAAGGUACGGCUUACCAAGGCAACGAUGCAUAGCCGACCUGAGAGGGUGAUCGGCCACACUGGAACUGAGACACGGUCCAGACUCCUACGGGAGGCAGCAGUAGGGAAUCUUCCGCAAUGGGCGAAAGCCUGACGGAGCAACGCCGCGUGAGUGAUGAAGGUCUUCGGAUCGUAAAACUCUGUUAUUAGGGAAGAACAUAUGUGUAAGUAACUGUGCACAUCUUGACGGUACCUAAUCAGAAAGCCACGGCUAACUACGUG